This 529-nucleotide ribosomal RNA is filed under the name uncultured bacterium. RNAcentral describes it as "bacterial SSU rRNA". It matches the Rfam family "Bacterial small subunit ribosomal RNA", at positions 777 to 1304 of the family's 1533-position model. The record is from RNAcentral.
AAUAGAUACCCUGGUAGUCCACGCCGUAAACGAUGAGUGCUAAGUGUUAGAGGGUUUCCGCCCUUUAGUGCUGCAGCUAACGCAUUAAGCACUCCGCCUAGGGAGUACGGUCGCAAGACUGAAACUCAAAGGAAUUGACGGGGGCCCGCACAAGCGGUGGAGCAUGUGGUUUAAUUCGAAGCAACGCGAAGAACCUUACCAGGUCUUGACAUCCCACUGACCGGUAUAGAGAUAUACCUUUCCCUUCGGGGACAGUGGUGACAGGUGGUGCAUGGUUGUCGUCAGCUCGUGUCGUGAGAUGUUGGGUUAAGUCCCGCAACGGGCGCAACCCUUGAUCUUAGUUGCCAGCAUUUAGUUGGGCACUCUAAGGUGACUGCCGGUGACAAACCGGAGGAAGGUGGGGAUGACGUCAAAUCAUCAUGCCCCUUAUGACCUGGGCUACACACGUGCUACAAUGGAUGGUACAAAGGGCUGCAAGACUGCGAAGUCAAGCCAAUCCCAUAAAACCAUUCUCAGUUCGGAUUGCAGG